AAUUGCCAUUGAUACUGUGAGUCUUGAGUAUGGUUGAGGUAGGCGGAAUGUGCAGUGUAGCGGUGAAAUGCAUAGAUAUUGCACAGAACUCCGAUUGCGAAGGCAGCUUACUAAGCCAUUACUGACGCUGAGGCACGAAAGCGUGGGGAGCGAACAGGAUUAGAUACCCUGGUAGUCCACGCCGUAAACGAUGUUCACUCGCUGUUUGCGAUACACAGCAAGCGGCUGAGCGAAAGCAUUAAGUGAACCACCUGGGGAGUACGAUCGCAAGGUUGAAACUCAAAGGAAUUGACGGGGGCCCGCACAAGCGGAGGAACAUGUGGUUUAAUUCGAUGAUACGCGAGGAACCUUACCUGGGCUUAAAUGUAGAGUGCAUGAGGUAGAAAUACUUCUUCCCUUCGGGGCUCUUUGCAAGGUGCUGCAUGGUUGUCGUCAGCUCGUGCCGUGAGGUGUCGGGUUAAGUCCCAUAACGAGCGCAACCCUUAUCGUUAGUUGCCAGCGGGUAAUGCCGGGGACUCUAGCGAAACUGCCGGUGUAAACCGAGAGGAAGGUGGGGGAUGACGUCAAAUCAGCACGGCCCUUAUGUCCAGGGCUACACACGUGUUACAAUGGCCGGUACAGAGGGCAGCUACCUUGGAGACAGGAUGCGAAUUCUCGAAGGCCGGUCCUCAGUUCGGAUCGGGAGUUCUGCAACUCGA
This 698-nucleotide ribosomal RNA is filed under the name uncultured bacterium. RNAcentral's name for it is "bacterial SSU rRNA". It matches the Rfam family "Bacterial small subunit ribosomal RNA", at positions 619 to 1315 of the family's 1533-position model. The record is from RNAcentral.